RNA transcript from Apis mellifera (honey bee), 1775 nucleotides. RefSeq lists it as uncharacterized. The record is from RefSeq and is a predicted model, not a curated record. The transcript has 2 exons. Lineage: Eukaryota; Metazoa; Arthropoda; Insecta; Hymenoptera; Apidae.
CAAAAAAUAGUAAAAUUAGUUAUUUUUUAUAUUAAAUUUCUAACUUUUGAUAUAUUUAUAUUUAACGAGGAAAGUGUCCGGACUCUCGAACGACUUUCCUGAACGUAAUAAUCGUUUCAAAACAGUAAAAAAAGCAUGGUACGAUGUAUAUGUAUACACGCGUUAAUACAAGGUUUCACCUUGCGUAGGAGAUUUUCACACGGUGGAGUGAACACGAAUCAAACGUUAGAAUAUGUCUGUUUAUUAUGUGAACAUUGUUUUUCCAUAAUGAUAUAUUUUAUUUAAAAUAAUACUUUGAUAAUAAAUUUAAAGUAUAAUAAUAACUGUAAUUAAUAUUCAACAUUUAUUUCAUUUCAAUCAUGAAAUUAUCAUUAAAUAAAUGCUUAAACAACUAUGAAUAGUUGCUUCAAAAAUAUCACAUCGAUGUGAUACUAAUAUUCAAAUGGGCCUUUUUGUAACAUUUACAUAUUUCUUUCUUUUCGGUGGUCGAGUCGCGGAGGACGGGAAUAAAAGAAGUUCGAAGAAACACGAGGUUUCUGACAUUUCCAUACAAUGGCGGGAAAAAUACGGUACGGGAUUGCGAGAUAUCCGGCGAUGGGCCAUGCUUGAUAACGAAGCCAGGACGCGCGAGAUGUUGAAAGAAUCAUGUGUUUAUCAUUUGAAUCGGUCGCCAUGCAUUCUAACUGUCGUUGUCAUUAAAGUCAUCGCCAGAAAUUUACUCUUAUCAAUGAUUGAAGUAAAAUUGCUAAAUAUUUCGAAAACUUUUAAAUACUGACUCAUUUAACGCUAGAAUCACUAACCUACAAUAUCGUUUGUUUGCAGAAUGAUGACAUAACCUAAAAGUUACAAUUUUAAGGAAAACAAUUUUGAAUGUUUUGAAUUGCAUUUUAUUAUAUUUGUUAAAAUUGAUAUCAAUUACUAUUAUCCUAUUUAACAUAAAUUUAUCAUUUGUUAAUUUCAAAUUAAAUAAUUAUUUAGUUGAUAUGUAAAAAGAUAUCAUGCAAAAAGAUAAAACAAGCCAAGUCCUAAUUUCCCUUCUUAUUUAUUCUAACAUAAAAACAAUUUUUUCUUAUUAGUCUCUAUAGAUGUAAACCUUUACCUGAUAAAAUAUUUAUCUCCAACCACUCAUCAUAAAUCAACAAUAAUCAUAAAUAAACAUCAUAAAUCACAUUUUAUGCAUCAUAAAUUAUUAAAUAAAUUCAUAUAUGAUGGAAUCAUGCGUUGAUUUCUCUAAUUGCAGAAUCGCAAAAAAACUGGUAAUGUUUUUUAAUGUUUUUAAAAUUAAAUAAAAUGGUAUCGCAAAAGAGGUUAGGACGAUGUUUUGUCUAUGGUUUCUUUAACUAGGGUUUCUUUCAGUGUCGAGAAUCGAAAGCCACAUAAGGGAAUUUGUACAGAAAGUUGAAAUUUUCAGUUAGGGACCUAAGCGGAUGGGGUUCCGCAUGGUCGCUCAGCUUGAACCGUCCACUGGCUGAAUACUAUCAUGACGUCACUCGCUACGGUCACUGCCUGAAUUAUUCAGUAAAAUGAAUAAAGAUCCCCUAGGACAGAAACGUCUAAAGGAAAUCCUGCCUUGAGCGAGGGUGAAGAGGGUGCAACCCAUGGGGUGUAAGAUUCUAUAGUGUAUGUAUGAAAAAACCAAUUAAGAAGAUUUAGAAUAAAACUUGUUGUUUUAAGUCUUCUUUUCAAUCAAUUUUUGCAACGAAUAUUAACUUUUCAAUUUAAUUUUUGUUCCAGAUUGUAACCUAGUCCUAUAAUUUAAUUUAAUAAUCAAGAUU